AUUAGCAGCCAUAUCACCCUGCAACUCACAACUGGUAACCCAGUGAAGCUAAGCAGGUGUGAGCCUGGUCAGUACCUGGAUAGGAGACCUCCUGGGAAAAGCUAAGGUAGCUGCUGGAA
Molecule: ribosomal RNA, 119 nt
Organism: Lepisosteus oculatus (spotted gar)
Lineage: Eukaryota; Metazoa; Chordata; Actinopteri; Semionotiformes; Lepisosteidae
Source: Ensembl